UGUUCGAGCGUCAUUACACCACUCAAGCCUGGCUUGGUAUUGGGCGCCGCGCCCGUCGCGCGCCCUAAUGUCGCCGGCCGAGUCGUCUGUCUCCGAGCGUUGUGAAUCUCAUUCGCUCCUGGGGAUCCAGACGGCGCGCGCCGUUAAACCUCUUUUUACAGGUUGACCUCGGAUCAGGUAGGGAUACCCGCUGAACUUAA
RNAcentral lists this unclassified non-coding RNA (200 nucleotides) under soil metagenome. Its description in RNAcentral is "partial contains internal transcribed spacer 2 and large subunit ribosomal RNA". The record is from RNAcentral.